Caenorhabditis elegans is the source of this 212-nucleotide non-coding RNA. Lineage: Eukaryota; Metazoa; Nematoda; Chromadorea; Rhabditida; Rhabditidae. The record is from Ensembl.
UGACAGUUUAGUUUUGAGUGACGUGUAAACAUCUCUAAUAAGAAAAGUCAGGACUUUUAGAGGGGGACUGGGGAUACUAAAGAAAUCGCCGAACGUGUCUGUGUGCCCCUCUUUGAUCUCACAAAGAUGAAUAGACAGAGAGUAUCGUCGCGAAAAGGGUUGUUUCCUUUGACACACACACAUAUAUACCGGCGCAAACACACAAAAAUGAA